Molecule: long non-coding RNA, 256 nt
Filed under: Gossypium raimondii (Peruvian cotton)
Lineage: Eukaryota; Viridiplantae; Streptophyta; Magnoliopsida; Malvales; Malvaceae
Description: long non-coding RNA (GRAI_LNC009244)
Source: RNAcentral
AAGAGAGGGAGAGAGGAGAAAAGAGGAACCGUACCAAGAAACAAUAGGAAACCCCCAAAAAAACUGAAAAGAAAAACUCUUCAUUUCAUAUCACAAAAAUAAAAAUAAUAAAAAUAUAAGCAAAACAAAUAAAAAAUAAAAAAUAUCUAAUCUAAUCUUUUAAAAAACCGGAACAAAGCUUAAUCAAAACAAUUCUCUCAAAGCACACUUGAGGACUCGAACUAGGGACCUAGAGACAAACUAACACACAACCAAC